Phrynosoma platyrhinos (Desert horned lizard) is the source of this 72-nucleotide non-coding RNA. The record is from the annotation of a GenBank genome assembly. NCBI's taxonomy places the organism in Eukaryota, Metazoa, Chordata, Lepidosauria, Squamata, Phrynosomatidae.
GCAAGCAUGGUAUAGCGGUUUAAAUGUUGUACUAUAACUUUGGAGACCAGAGUUCGAUUCCCAGUUCUGCCA